AAAAGGAAAGGAGAAGUACUGGGAAUUGAAAUGGAGCACAUUAAUUCCAUGCAUGUUUGGUUGUGUCAAAAUGAAUUGCAAUAUUAUGUAUGUGAUAAUACACUAAUAAAAAUAUGUAAAAAAAAGAAAAAGCAUUCUGGGCUGGGGUUGUUGCUCAGUGGUAGAGUGCUCGCUUCACACAUGUGAGGCCCUUGUUUGAUCCCCAGCACCACAUUAAAAAUAAAUAAACAAAAAAAGAUAUUGUAUACAACUAAGAAAUAUAUUUUUUUAUAAAGCAUUCUUUGUGUAAAGAACAGGAAAACAGUUUCUUAUCAGAUAAAUCUCUGUGAAACAGCCUCUUACCAGAGAAAUUUCUUGCAAAUGUCUUCUUUUAGGCAUAGCUUAUCUUUUCUUUCUGUAGAUAUUAUUUUUCACAGAGCAGGAAUUUUAAUUUUAAUGGGGUGUAUUGUAUCAAUCUCUUUCUCAUUGAUCAUACCUUUGAUAUAGUAUCAAAAAAGUCAUGGCCAAAUCCAACGUCAUCUAGAUUUUCUCCUUCUAUCUUGUACAAUUUUUCUAGUUUUAUGUUUUACAUUUAGAUCUAUGAUCCAUUUUAAAUUAAUGUUUGUGAAGAGCAUAGAUUCAUUAUUUUAUGUGGGUAUGUCCAGUGUUCUAACAGCAUUUGUGGAAAAGGCUAUCUUUUCUCUAUUGUGUUGCUGUCAAUCCUUUGUCGAAGAUCAGUUGACUACAUAGUUAUUGCUUGGUCUGUAGGGAUUUGAUACUAGUAUCUUCCAGAGACCUACAUCUGUGGAAGGUCAAAAUCUCUUAAUUAAAAUUCCCUGGUAUACAGCCUAAGCUCUCAUAUACUUUACAUCAUCUCUUGAUUAUGUUUAGUGCCUGACAAAAUGUAAGUGCUAUGUAAUUGAAACUGGAGUUUGAAAUGAAACCAGAUUCUCCACUCUGCUGGUCUGUAGGUCCACAUAAGUUACAUGCCUCUGCAGCUGAGAGAGCUCAUUUUAGUAUUGCAACUAAUCACAGCAGGGAAAUGCCUGUCUGGUCAGCUCCAUGGGUCAGAGCUGGCAGAACCUGACUCUCUUCACUAUUACUGAGCAGUGUGUUGUAGCUCUCAAUGGCAGACCUCAGCAGCUGGCUGCCAUUUUUUUUCCCCAAGGUCUCAUUCACAGAUUUGAAGACAAAUCCAUAGACAACAGAAGGCAAGAGUGAAGGUGUAGUAUUUAUAUAACUGAAAAGAAAAGAAGCAGAACUCUCAGGGGCUGAGAGGGGAACCUGAGAGUAGGUUUCCACUUAAGUGUACUAGUCUAGGGACUUAAAUAGCUACUGGAUGAGGCAUUCAUCAAUAUCUGUGCUAAUCAGGUCUUGGAAAGAUACUAAGGGUGUUGGUCAGUAUCUAUGCUAAUCAUGUCUUGAAAAAGUGCCAAUACUAUUGGUCAACACCUAUGCUAAACAAGUAUUGGAACAGUGCCAAGGCUCAUGGUUUGGUCUGUGACAUUCUGAUUAGUUAGGCCUUGAGUCUGUAGUCUUCACUCAGGUCGGCUCUACCUCCUUUUUCCUGCCACCCGGGACAAAGAAAUUGGCUGUAAUGUUUGGAAUGUUUUCUAUAGGUUAGUUUUGUGAAAUAGCCUCUUCAUUUAAAGUCUC
This 1635-nucleotide long non-coding RNA is filed under the name Marmota monax (woodchuck). Lineage: Eukaryota; Metazoa; Chordata; Mammalia; Rodentia; Sciuridae. The record is from RNAcentral.